This 460-nucleotide ribosomal RNA is filed under the name uncultured bacterium. RNAcentral describes it as "partial 16S ribosomal RNA". It matches the Rfam family "Bacterial small subunit ribosomal RNA", at positions 338 to 795 of the family's 1533-position model. The record is from RNAcentral.
CCUACGGGAGACAGCAGUGAGGAAUAUUGGUCAAUGGACGCAAGUCUGAACCAGCCAUGCCGCGUGCAGGAAGACGGCUCUAUGAGUUGUAAACUGCUUUUGUACGAGGGUAAACGCAGAUACGCGUAUCUGUCUGAAAGUAUCGUACGAAUAAGGAUCGGCUAACUCCGUGCCAGCAGCCGCGGUAAUACGGAGGAUUCAAGCGUUAUCCGGAUUUAUUGGGUUUAAAGGGUGCGUAGGCGGUCGGAUAAGUUAGAGGUGAAAUCCCGAGGCUCAACUUCGGAAUUGCCUCUGAUACUGUUCGGCUAGAGAGUAGUUGCGGUAGGCGGAAUGUAUGGUGUAGCGGUGAAAUGCUUAGAGAUCAUACAGAACACCGAUUGCGAAGGCAGCUUACCAAGCUACUUCUGACGUUGAGGCACGAAAGCGUGGGUAGCAAACAGGAUUAGAUACCCCAGUAGUC